Molecule: ribosomal RNA, 403 nt
Filed under: uncultured Chloroflexota bacterium
Lineage: Bacteria; Bacillati; Chloroflexota
Also listed under: 1 other name
Description: bacterial SSU rRNA
Rfam family: Bacterial small subunit ribosomal RNA
Source: RNAcentral
UAGGGAAUAUUGCUCAAUGGGCGAAAGCCUGAAGCAGCAACGCCGCGUGUGCGAUGAAGGCCUUCGGGUCGUAAAGCACUUUUCUGAGAGAUGAGAAAGGACAGUAUCUCAGGAAUAAGUCUCGGCUAACUACGUGCCAGCAGCCGCGGUAAAACGUAGGAGGCGAGCGUUAUCCGGAUUCACUGGGCGUAAAGCGCGUGCAGGCGGUUCGGUAAGUUGGGCGUGAAAUCUCCUGGCUUAACUAGGAGAGGUCGUUCAAUACUACCGGGCUUGAGAGUGGUAGAGGAAGAUGGAAUUCCAGGUGUAGUGGUGAAAUGCGUAGAUAUCUGGAGGAACACCAGUGGCGAAAGCGAUCUUCUGGACCAUUUCUGACGCUCAGACGCGAAAGCUAGGGUAGUAAACG